AGAGUUUGAUCCUGGCUCAGGACGAACGCUGGCGGCGUGCUUAACACAUGCAAGUCGAGCGGGGUUUAUCGGAUUAGCUUGCUAAACUGAUAAACCUAGCGGCGGACGGGUGAGUAACGCGUGAGCAAUCUGCCUCAUACAGGGGGAUAACAGGUGGAAACACCUGCUAAUACCGCAUAAGACUCCACUACCGCAUGGUAGAGAAGUCAAAGGGAUUACCGGUAUGAGAUGAGCUCGCGUCCCAUUAGCUAGUUGGUAGGGUAAAGGCCUACCAAGGCGACGAUGGGUAGCCGACCUGAGAGGGUGAUCGGCCACACUGGGACUGAGACACGGCCCAGACUCCUACGGGAGGCAGCAGUGGGGAAUAUUGCACAAUGGAGGGAACUCUGAUGCAGCAACGCCGCGUGAGUGAAGAAGGUUUUCGGAUCGUAAAACUCUGUCAUUGGGGAAGAAUAAAUGACGGUACCCAAUGAGGAAGCCCCGGCUAACUACGUGCCAGCAGCCGCGGUAAUACGUAGGGGGCGAGCGUUGUCCGGAAUUACUGGGCGUAAAGGGUACGUAGGCGGCUAUAUAAGUCAGGUGUGAAAUACCAGUGCUUAACACUGGAAUUGCAUUUGAAACUGUGUAGCUUGAGUGCAGGAGAGGAAAGUGGAAUUCCUAGUGUAGCGGUGAAAUGCGUAGAGAUUAGGAGGAACACCAGUGGCGAAGGCGACUUUCUGGACUGUAACUGACGCUGAGGUACGAAAGCGUGGGUAGCGAACAGGAUUAGAUACCCUGGUAGUCCACGCCGUAAACGAUGGAUACUAGGUGUAGGGGGUAUCGAC
Molecule: ribosomal RNA, 824 nt
Filed under: uncultured bacterium
Lineage: Bacteria
Description: bacterial SSU rRNA
Rfam family: Bacterial small subunit ribosomal RNA
Source: RNAcentral